AUUUAAAAGAAAAUGAAGAGAAUUAAAAAUAAAUAAAUGCUAAAGGAAAUGUGACUAAAAUAAUCAAAAAUAAAGACAAAGACUUAAUUUUUUUUUCCUUUUAUAUAAAAUAGAAUAAGAGAUUUUUUUUAAAAAAAAUUAUAUUUGAGAUUGAAAUGAAAAUCAAAUUAAAAGAUUUUUUUUAAAUAAAUGCAAUGAAC
RNAcentral lists this long non-coding RNA (200 nucleotides) under Lathyrus oleraceus (garden pea). RNAcentral describes it as "Pisum sativum (pea) long non-coding RNA (PSAT_LNC017656)". The record is from RNAcentral. Lineage: Eukaryota; Viridiplantae; Streptophyta; Magnoliopsida; Fabales; Fabaceae.